AGUGUUAAAACCGCUUCCUACAUAGACGCACGUGUCUUACAUUUCCCCGUGCGCCGGUAUUCGAAUGUAAACACGAGCUUUCCUAUUAAAAGUUCUACGAAAAAACUACACGCAACUUUUUUCAGUGAUUUUACGUGAAAUUAGAACGUUUCCAAAUAAAGUGGUGAGCUUUUAAAGUGACUUUUUAUACCGGAGUAUCAAAAACGUCAUCUUUGAAGUUGGUGAAAAUAGCAGUCGUUAAG
Molecule: unclassified non-coding RNA, 242 nt
Filed under: Melitaea cinxia (Glanville fritillary)
Lineage: Eukaryota; Metazoa; Arthropoda; Insecta; Lepidoptera; Nymphalidae
Description: misc RNA ENSMCXG00005012253.1
Source: RNAcentral